ACUCAAAUGAAUAGACGGGGACCCGCACAAGCAGUGGAGUAUGUGGUUUAAUUCGAAGCAACGCGAAGAACCUUACCAGGUCUUGACAUCCCAUUGAAAGGUGCAGAGAUGUACCCGGCUUCUUCGGAAGACAAUGGAGACAGGUGGUGCAUGGUUGUCGUCAGCUCGUGUCGUGAGAUGUUGGGUUAAGUCCCGCAACGAGCGCAACCCUUGAUCUCAGUUGCCAGCAUUGAGUUGGGCACUCUGGGAUGACUGCCGGUGACAAACCGGAGGAAGGCGGGGAUGACGUCAAAUCAUCAUGCCCCUUAUGACCUGGGCUACACACGUACUACAAUGGCCGGUACAACGGGCAGCGAAGGAGCGAUCCGGAGCGAAUCCUCAUAAACCGGUCUCAGUUCGGAUUGCAGGCUGCAACCCGCCUGCAUGAAGUCGGAAUUGCUAGUAAUCGCGGAUCAGCAUGCCGCGGUGAAUACGUUCCCGGGUCUUGUACACACCGCCCGU
This 501-nucleotide ribosomal RNA is filed under the name uncultured bacterium. RNAcentral describes it as "partial 16S ribosomal RNA". It matches the Rfam family "Bacterial small subunit ribosomal RNA", at positions 899 to 1397 of the family's 1533-position model. The record is from RNAcentral.